UUUGAAGAAGUGCUAUGAAAGAGACCUAACCUUUGGCGAAAUAUGGAUACGAAUAGGCAAAACUUAAACUUUAUAAGAAUGCUCUAUAUCGGGCAAUCCUUUCGACAUUCCAUACAAACACAGAGGCCGAAAUGUCAACUUGGGACUGAGACCGAGAGAGUUGCAUUCCUGACGCGACGUUGGUUGCAGGAUGUACAUGGCAGCAUUUCACAUCAAUGAAAACAGCCUAAAUACCCUAGAAGUGACCAAGACUGGAGAACCCAAGUGGGCAAUCAGCUACCCCUAGGCCUAAACCAAGAGGUCAAGCCAGUGAACAAGAAACCAACAGAGUAUGUGGAAUUCCUACUUAGGA
Molecule: long non-coding RNA, 352 nt
Organism: Haliotis rubra (blacklip abalone)
Lineage: Eukaryota; Metazoa; Mollusca; Gastropoda; Lepetellida; Haliotidae
Exons: 3
Source: RefSeq, a predicted model, not a curated record